UUCUCUCGCCAAACCACCUUGACAGUGCCCAGUCUCGUCUGAUCUUGGAAGCUGAGCGGGGUUGGGGUUGGUUUUUGCUCGGAUGGGGGACUUCCGGGAAUUCCAGAUGUCACAGUGA
This 118-nucleotide ribosomal RNA is filed under the name Periophthalmus magnuspinnatus. Lineage: Eukaryota; Metazoa; Chordata; Actinopteri; Gobiiformes; Gobiidae. The record is from RNAcentral.